GAUGAAGAACGUAGCGAAAUGCGAUAAGUAGUGUGAAUUGCAGAAUUCAGUGAAUCAUCGAAUCUUUGAACGCACAUUGCGCCCCUUGGUACUCCAUGGGGCAUGCCUGUUCGAGCGUCAUUUACACCCUCAAGCUCGGCUUGGUGUUGGGCGUCUGUCCCGCUUCGUGCGCGGACUCGCCUCAAAUGCAUUGGCAGCGGUCUUGCCAGCUUCUCGCGCAGCACAUUGCGCUUCUAGAGGCUUUGGCGGAUCGGCGUCCAUCAAGUACACCCACAGUUUGACCUCGGAUCAGGUAGGGAUACCCGCUGAACUUAAGCAUAUCAAUAAGCGGAGGA
Molecule: unclassified non-coding RNA, 335 nt
Filed under: soil metagenome
Description: partial contains 5.8S ribosomal RNA, internal transcribed spacer 2, and large subunit ribosomal RNA
Rfam family: 5.8S ribosomal RNA (bases 1-120)
Source: RNAcentral